Molecule: ribosomal RNA, 1475 nt
Filed under: Eutreptiella sp. CCMP1594
Lineage: Eukaryota; Euglenozoa; Euglenophyceae; Eutreptiales; Eutreptiaceae
Description: 16S ribosomal RNA
Source: RNAcentral
UAAAAGGAGGUGAUCCAGCCACACCUUCCAGUACGGCUACCUUGUUACGACUUCACCCCAGUCACCAGACCUUCCUUAGAUACCUUUCUCUAAAAGUUAAAAUAGCAUCUUCGGGAGUGACCAGCUUCCAUGGUGUGACGGGCGGUGUGUACAAGGCCUGGGAACGAAUUCACCGCUGUAUGGCUGACCAGCGAUUACUAGCGAUUCCAACUUCAUGUAAACGAGUUGCAGUUUACAAUCCGAACUAAGACUAGGUUUUAGAGAUUAGCGUGCUUUCACAAGUUAGCAACUCUCUGUCCUAAUCAUUGUAGUACGUGUGUCGCCCAGAACAUAAGGGGCAUGCUGACUUGACGUCGUCCUCACCUUCCUCCGAUUUAUCAUCGGCAGUCUCUUUAGAGAAUCGAAAAACGUAACUAAAGACAAGGGUUGCGCUCGUUAUGGGACUUAACCCAACAUCUCACGACACGAGCUGACGACAGCCAUGCACCACCUGUAUUUAGGUUCCAAAAGGCACAUUUCUUUCUCAAGAAACUUCCUAAUAUGUCAAGUUCUGGUAAGGUUCUUCGCGUUGCAUCGAAUUAAACCACAUACUCCACCGCUUGUGCAGGCCCCCGUCAAUUCCUUUGAGUUUCACUCUUGCGGGCGUACUCCCCAGGCGGGACACUUAACGCGUUAGCUACAGCAAUGCAUAUUUUCAUUACGCACCACUUAGUGUCCAUCGUUUACAGCUAAGACUACCAGGGUAUCUAAUCCUGUUCGCUACCUUAGCUUUCGUCUCUGAGUGUCAGUUUCGGCCUAGUAAAGUGCUUUCGCCKUUGGUGUUCCUCCCAAUCUCUUCGCAUUUCACCGCUACACUGGGAAUUCCCUUUACCCCUACCGAACUCAAGCUUAGUAGUUUCCUAUGCCAUUUCGAAGUUAAGCUUCGAGAUUUAACACAGGACUUACUAUGCCACCUACAGACGCUUUACGCCCAAUAAUUCCGAAUAACACUUGCACCCCCCGUAUUACCGCGGCUGCUGGCACGGAGUUAGCCGGUGCUUAUUCCUCAAGUACCGUCAUUUUUUCUUCCUUGAGAAAAGAAGUUUACAACCCAAAAGCCUUCUUCCUCCACGCGGUAUUGCUCCGUCAGGCUUUCGCCCAUUGCGGAAAAUUCCCUACUGCUGCCUCCCGUAGGAGUCUGGGCCGUAUCUCAGUCCCAGUAUGACUGGUCGUCCUCUCAAACCAGUUACCGAUCGUUGCCUUGGUAAGCCAUUACCCCACCAACUAGCUAAUCAGACGCGAGCUUAUCCAUAGGCGAAAUUCUUUAACUUCUCAGCCUAUGGGGUAUUAGCAAUCAUUUCUAAUUGUUAUCCCCCACCUAAGGGCAAAUUCUCACGCGUUACUCAUCCGUUCGCCACUAUUCAARAAGAAUCGUUCGACUUGCAUGUAUAAAGCAUACCGCCAGCGUUCAUUCUGAGCCAGGAUCAAACUCUCCA